Non-coding RNA from Marasmius tenuissimus, 103 nucleotides. The record is from the annotation of a GenBank genome assembly. NCBI's taxonomy places the organism in Eukaryota, Fungi, Basidiomycota, Agaricomycetes, Agaricales, Marasmiaceae.
UCCCUGGUGGUAUAUGGUUAGUACACGCGCCUGCAAGUGCGCCUGUCGUCCGUCCUGCUGGAUUCAAACGCGCGAAAGCUGGGUUCGACUCCCAGCCAGGGAG